RNAcentral lists this long non-coding RNA (2144 nucleotides) under Numida meleagris (helmeted guineafowl). RNAcentral's name for it is "lncRNA (ENSNMEG00000008725.1)". Lineage: Eukaryota; Metazoa; Chordata; Aves; Galliformes; Numididae. The record is from RNAcentral.
UCUGCUUUUUGGCUCUCUUCGUAUCUCAAAUUGCUUAUUGGCAUCGGGCGGUUGUUUUCAAGAUCUCUCAAUGCUCCAAGUCUUCCUCUGCGAUGCUCCACACAUUGAUAAUGAGCCGCGCUCGCUAAUCUCCCAUCAGGAUUCAUAAUGUCAUACGAAAAUCCUCGUUGAAAAAAACAUUCAUCGCAGUUUAUUUGCAGUACAGAAGGUCAUUCUGCCUGAAUCAUUUGUCAGAAAAUUUCCAUUGAGUGUGAAGGUUUUCGGUGAAAAUUGUGAGUUUCUCCUUGGCGGCAAUCACAAUGUUUCAUUUCCAAGGGCCACCAAAAGGGGAGGUAUUUCCCAUGGCUGCUGAGAAGGGCAGGUGUGGCAGUGAGGGACAUGGACUGGUGGGCACGGUGGGGAUGGGUUGGGGUUGCACUUGGUGACCUGAGCAGUCCUCUCCUACCUUGAUGAUUCUCUAAUCCAACUGUCCCCUGCGCAGAAGCACAAACCCAAAAGGGGGUUCCUUCCAGAGUCCUGAAGAAAAGUUCUGUGUGUCCCUCCAGAAACCCACCACGCUGUGAAACCCCCAGGUGUGUGCUGAUGUCUGCAGGGCACACAGCGACGUAUGGAAGGAGACUGUUGUACAGUGGGAAUACAACCAGUGAGAACUCUCCUUAUGCUAUUGCUGAAGACAAUCCUUUGGCACCAGCAGAUUUACCUUAAAAAUUCUGCACUACUCUUUUAAUCUCAUCCCACCCAUCACUACAGGCAAUGCUGGGUGGGUAUCUGAAGCAAUAGGACCACUGUGUGUCACAGAAUCAUAGAACCGUUUCAGCUGGACCUCUAAAGGCCAUCUGUCCCCCUCCCUGCAACGCACAGGGACACCCACAGCUCCACCAGGUGCUCAGAUCCUGUCCCCUGACCUUGGGGCACCUCCACCUCUCUAGACUUCCUCUGCUGGCACCUCACUGCCUUCACUGUGUCCAUAGCACUGUGUGUCCCCAAAACGAGCACUGCCUCCCACCGGGCAGAGAGGACGGUGACUGCAAUGGGAAGGGAUCCGUGGCUCCUGAGAGUAACCUCUGGAACCAAAAUGCUGCAUUUCAACAGCAGAAAAACAAUAGCACACGAAACCUCAGCUCCCAGGAGAGCAGGAUUAAAGGAACGGACUUCAGCCAAAUGGGGAAACUGGAUGGAAUCUGCAUGCUGACCCCCAGCGGCGCGGCCCCGCGGGCACUGCGCAGGAUGACUUGCUGUUUAUGGAAAGCACUCGAGUGCAGGAGAGAUCGUGCUACAGUUAAACAGACAAUGCUUAAAGGGCCAUUGCCCACGCUUGGUUUAACAGAGCCUUUCUCACUGAUUUCCAAGAAGGAAGGAGUUCUGCAUCUCUACUGCUGGGCACCACAUCACAAAUCGAUGCUGGAAGGCAAACUGCUGCUACAUUCAGUAGGAUGGAGAAGAUGACUCUGCACUUCACUUUUUGCGAGAAUCAAGAAAUUCACUUUUGGUGUAAAUGCGGGUACACGUCCCCUGGGUGGCCCAGCACCAUAUCACGUGUAAGAACAUGCUCCUUGUGAACACGGAAGAUGGGCUGGCAGGUCACUGACCGAGCUAAGACAUCCACCAGUGGCACAGCCAAGCGCUGUGACCACCGUGUGCUUGGGAGAGCUCUACUGCUCCUGCAGAGCAGCGGGGUGCUACCGAAACUCACCCUCAGGUGAGAGAUCGGUGGGGUUAGGAAGCAGCUGCUCCCAGCUGCUCACCCACAACCUGCUCCGGUCACAAGGCAGGCUGCUGGCCUCCACCACAUCCCCUCUGCAUGUCCAACCACGUGCCCCGUGGCUACAGAGCUUCCGCAGCUCUUAGUGAGACACUGCAGAAGCAUGAAGAGUUGAGGGUGAGCGCUGCAGAGCGCUGAGUUCCCCGGGCAGUUCUGCUGAGCACUGCACGGCACCGCACGGCCUGCUUGCUCUGCUCAGCUCGCCACGGCCAGCAGCUCUGUGCUAGCAGAGGUCCUCCAGAGGACGGAGGUGCUCAGACAGGAUGGGCUUCGGGUGACACUGCAGUGAGCUGCAGAUUUCAUGCACGGCCCUUCCAGCUGUGUGCAGCCUCCGAGACCAUGCGAGGACAAGGAUGCUGUAUUUUUAGAAGAUGAAAGAAGA